This is a small nuclear RNA of Tupaia belangeri (northern tree shrew), 130 nucleotides long. Its record names the gene U4. It matches the Rfam family "U4 spliceosomal RNA". Rfam says of the family: U4 small nuclear RNA (U4 snRNA) is a component of the major U2-dependent spliceosome. The record is from Ensembl. Lineage: Eukaryota; Metazoa; Chordata; Mammalia; Scandentia; Tupaiidae.
AGCUUUGCGCAGUGGCAGUAUCGUAGCCAAUGAGGUUUAUCCGAGGCGCGAUUAUUGCUAAUUGAAAAACACCGAUUUGGGUACCAAAAUGAGCAGACUGGAUUUGUGCUACUUGUGCACCACUGCUGGU